Molecule: unclassified non-coding RNA, 342 nt
Filed under: uncultured Borrelia sp.
Lineage: Bacteria; Pseudomonadati; Spirochaetota; Spirochaetia; Spirochaetales; Borreliaceae
Description: partial 5S-23S intergenic spacer
Rfam family: Bacterial large subunit ribosomal RNA (bases 144-342)
Source: RNAcentral
AUUUUUUAAUGUUUAUAUUAUUUGAAUAAAACAUUCAAAUAAUAUAAAAAAUAAUAUAUAUAUUGACAUGGAUUAAACAAAGAUAUAUAUUAUUCUAUGUUGUAUAAACAAAUUGGCAAAAUAGAGAUGGAAGAUAAAAAUAUGGUCAAAGUAAUAAGAGUCUAUGGUGAAUGCCUAGGAGCUUUAAGGCGAAGAAGGUCGUGGUAAGCUGCGAAAAGCUUGGGGGAAAAGCAAACAUUUAUUGAUCCCAAGAUUACCGAAUGGAGUAAUCCAGCUAGCAAGAUGCUAGCUAUCUAUUAUCUAAAUAAUAGAGGCGAUACCAGGGGAAGUGAACCAUCUAAG